AAAAAAAAAAAAAGAUAAAACAGGAGAUGUCAAAGAAACCUUCAAUGAGGCAGCUGGCCCAGAUCCAGGAUCUCCUUCCACUCUUCUUGAGUCCCAGGCUUCUUUGUGGUGAAGGUGAGCAGCUGGGUCAGCGCUUUCCCAGCCCAGCUUUGCUUGUGUCCCUGUCUGUCAGGAGCCCUCAGCGGCUCCCCAUUGCUCAGUAACAACAGUUCUCAGUUCUUGAGUGAUUACCUUAGUCUGGGCAUAGGGCCUUUUUGUGAAUCCCUACAACAACCCUACUAGGCAGAUACCAUUAUUAUUUCCAUUUUACAAAUGAGGAAACUGAGGCUUGGAGAGAAGAGAUUUUUGCCAAGGUACCUCAGCUGGUUGGUGACAAAGCCAGGAUUCAGAUUCGCUGGGCCAUUAGUUGCCACUGCUGAUAGAAUGAAGUCCACUGCCUUCCCUGGAGUCGCAGCCUUGCUCUUAUCUGCUCAGGACCCACUUUCCCACCAUCCUGUGCUCCACAGACUGAACAAACAGCCACUUCCAUCUCCCUAAACGCUACACAGGUUCCCACCUGAGAACCUUUCUUUGCCUGUGCUGUUCCCUCCACCUAGAGUCCCCUCGCCUCUUCACAUAAGCAAGGGGGUGCCCUUUAUCUCUUAUGCCCCCACAAUUCUAUUUGUGAGGCUCUAUGGCCCCUUAUCACACACAUUUUGUGUGCCCAGGGAUUGGAGGUGUGACAGACUGGUAUUUAGGUCUAAAUCUUUUUUGUUUUUUUUUUUUUUGAGAUAGAGUUUUGUUCUUGUCACCCAGGCUGGAGUGCAGUGGGGUAAUCUCGGCUCCCUGCAACCUCCGCCUCCCGGGUUCAAGCGAUUAUCCCACCUCAGCCUCCCGAGUAGCUGGGAUUACAGGUGCGCACUACUACGCCUGAGUAAUUUUUGUAUUUUUAGUAGAGACGGGGUUUCAUCAUGUUGGUCAGGCUGGUCUCAAACUCCUGACCUCGUGAUCCGUCUGCCUGGGCCUCCCAAAGUGCUGGGAUUAAAGGCGUGAGCCACCGUGCCUAGCCUUUUUUUGGAGAUGGAGUUUCGCCCUUGUUGCCCAGGCUGGAGCACAGUGGCGUGAUCUCAGCUCACUGCAACCUCUGCCUCCCGGGUUCAAGCGAUUCUCUUGUCUCAGCCUCCUGAGUAGCUGGGAUUACAGGUGCGUGCCACCACACCCAGCUAAUUUUUUGUAUUUUUAGUAUAGACAGGGUUUCACCAUGUUGGCCAGGCUGGUCUCGAACUCCUGACUUCAGGUGAUCCAGCCACCUUGGCCUCCCAAAGUGCUGGGAUUAUAGUGUGAGCCACUGCCCUUUUGUUUUGUUUUUUUAAGAGACAAGGUCUCACCCUGUUGCCAGGGUGGAGUGCAGUGGCAGGAUCUUGGCUCACUGCAACCUCAAUCUCCCACGCUCAAGUGAUCCUCCCACCUCAGCCUUCUGAGUAGUGGGGACUACUGGUGCGUGCCACCAUGCUCAGCUAAUUUUUUUUUUUUUUUUUGAGACGGUGUCUCACUCUGUCGCCCAGGCUGGAGUGCAGUGACGCAAUCUUGGCCCACUGCAAGCUCUGCCUCCUGGGUUCAUGCCAUUCUCCUGCCUCAGCCUCCCCAGUAGCUGGGACUACAGGCGCCGGCCACCACGCCAGCUAAUUUUUUUGUAUUUUUAGUAGAGACGGGGUUUCACCGUGUUAGCCAGGAUGCUCUUGAACUCCUGACCUCGUGAUCCAUCCGCCUCGGCCUCCCAAAGUGCUGGGAUUACAGGUGUGAGUCACUGUGCCUGGCCUAAUUUUUUUUUUUUUUUUUUGAGAUGGAGUCUUGCUCUGUCGCCCAGGUUGGAGUGCAUGGCGCGAUCUGGGCUCACUGCAAUCCCUGACUUCCGGGUUCACGCCGUUCUCCUGCCUCAGCCUCCCAAGUAGCUGGGACUACAGGUGCCUGCAAGCAAGCUCGGCUAAUUUUUUGUAUUUUUAGUAGAGAUGGGGUUUCACCGUGUUAGCCAGGAUGGUCUUGAUCUCGUGACCUCGUGUGCCAGCCCGCGG
Molecule: long non-coding RNA, 2051 nt
Filed under: Homo sapiens (human)
Lineage: Eukaryota; Metazoa; Chordata; Mammalia; Primates; Hominidae
Description: HSALNT0329791
Source: RNAcentral